UGAGGAAUAUUGGGCAAUGGAGGCAACUCUGACCCAGCCAUGCCGCGUGAGUGAAGAAGGUUUUCGGAUUGUAAAGCUCUUUCGGGUGUGACGAUGAUGACGGUAGCACCUAAAGAAGCCCCGGCUAACUUCGUGCCAGCAGCCGCGGUAAUACGAAGGGGGCAAGCGUUGUUCGGAAUUACUGGGCGUAAAGGGAGUGUAGGCGGUUAUGUAAGAUAGUGGUGAAAUCCCAGAGCUUAACUUUGGAAUUGCCAUUAUGACUAUGUGGCUAGAAUUACAGAGAGGAUAGUGGAAUACCCAGUGUAGAGGUGAAAUUCGUAGAUAUUGGGUAGAACACCAGUGGCGAAGGCGACUAUCUGGCUGUAUAUUGACGCUGAGGCUCGAAAGCAUGGGGAUCAAACA
This 402-nucleotide ribosomal RNA is filed under the name uncultured bacterium. RNAcentral's name for it is "bacterial SSU rRNA". It matches the Rfam family "Bacterial small subunit ribosomal RNA", at positions 355 to 774 of the family's 1533-position model. The record is from RNAcentral.